AGAGAUGUGUGAUGACGCAUAUCAAUAAGCGGAGGAAAAGAAACUAACAAGGAUUCCCUUAGUAACGGCGAGUGAAGCGGGAAGAGCUCAAAUUUGAAAUCUUCAAGGUUCUACCUUGACGAAUUGUAGUUUAAAGAAGUGUUUUCUGUUAGUGGAGUGGCAAAAGUUCUUUGGAAUAGGACAUCAUAGAGGGUGAGAAUCCCGUAUUUGGUCAUUCCUUCUAGCUUUGUGAUACACCUUCAAAGAGUCGGAUUGUUUGGGAAUGCAGUCCAAAAUGGGUGGUAAAUUUCAUCUAAAGCUAAAUAUUGGCGAGAGACCGAUAGCGAACAAGUACCGUGAGGGAAAGAUGAAAAGAACUUUGAAAAGAGAGUUAAACAGUACGUGAAAUUGUCAAAAGGGAAGCGUUUGACACCAGUGUUGUUUUUCCGAAAAUCAAUUACGAAUGUUUUAUUUUUGAGGAGUUAUGACUUCAUCGGCUUGCUCCUUUCUUUAUGAAACUUUCUUAAUGCACUUUUCGGUUAACAAGUCAACAUCAAUUUCUUUUGUUGUAAAAGAGUAUUGGGAAGGUGGCUUUCUUUUCGGAGAAAGUGUUUAUAGCCCUUGUACUUCUGCAAUCGGAGAGAUUGAGGUCUGCAGCGUAGAUCCUUCGGGGUUAGAUACAUUUGUGCUAAGUUAUAGCUUUUCAUAGACAACUUGUUGACUAUGUUAAGUCUUGUAGCUUACUCGCUUAUGCUAUUUUACCUACGCUUAGGAUGUUGACGAUCAGCUGAGCGCG
This 775-nucleotide ribosomal RNA is filed under the name uncultured Neocallimastigales. RNAcentral's name for it is "partial large subunit ribosomal RNA". It matches the Rfam family "Eukaryotic large subunit ribosomal RNA", at positions 23 to 646 of the family's 3401-position model. The record is from RNAcentral. Lineage: Eukaryota; Fungi; Neocallimastigomycota; Neocallimastigomycetes; Neocallimastigales.